Molecule: ribosomal RNA, 432 nt
Filed under: uncultured bacterium
Lineage: Bacteria
Description: bacterial SSU rRNA
Rfam family: Bacterial small subunit ribosomal RNA
Source: RNAcentral
CCUACGGGAGGCAGCAGUGGGGAAUAUUGCACAAUGGGGGAAACCCUGAUGCAGCGACGCCGCGUGAGUGAAGAAGUAUUUCGGUACGUAAAGCUCUAUCAGCAGGGAAGAAAGAAAGUCCUUUGGACUUUGGACGGUACCUGACCAAGAAGCCCCGGCUAACUACGUGCCAGCAGCCGCGGUAAUACGUAGGGGGCAAGCGUUAUCCGGAUUUACUGGGUGUAAAGGGAGCGUAGACGGCAGCGCAAGUCUGGAGUGAAAUGCCGGGGCCCAACCCCGGAACUGCUUUGGAAACUGUGCAGCUCGAGUGCAGGAGAGGUAAGCGGAAUUCCUAGUGUAGCGGUGAAAUGCGUAGAUAUUAGGAGGAACACCAGUGGCGAAGGCGGCUUACUGGACUGUAACUGACGUUGAGGCUCGAAAGCGUGGGGAGCA